ACAAAGGAACCGGGCGGCGGUUGCGCCGCCAACCCCGCCAGGUCCGAAAGGAAGCAACGGUAACGGUUGCUGCCGGGUGUCCGGUUCCUUGAAAGG
RNAcentral lists this signal recognition particle RNA (96 nucleotides) under Mailhella sp. RNAcentral describes it as "signal recognition particle sRNA small type". It matches the Rfam family "Bacterial small signal recognition particle RNA". From Rfam's summary of the family: The signal recognition particle (SRP) is a universally conserved ribonucleoprotein involved in the co-translational targeting of proteins to membranes. Archaeal SRP consists of a 7S RNA and homologues of the eukaryotic SRP19 and SRP54 proteins. Lineage: Bacteria; Pseudomonadati; Thermodesulfobacteriota; Desulfovibrionia; Desulfovibrionales; Desulfovibrionaceae. The record is from RNAcentral.